Sebastes umbrosus (honeycomb rockfish) is the source of this 565-nucleotide long non-coding RNA. RefSeq lists it as uncharacterized. The record is from RefSeq and is a predicted model, not a curated record. Lineage: Eukaryota; Metazoa; Chordata; Actinopteri; Perciformes; Sebastidae. The transcript has 3 exons.
CCGUUACCCGUCAUGCAGUUUGUUAGGAGAGCAGUGAGAGACAGGCGGAGUAAAAACGCUCUAACGUGCGGCAGCAAACAAUGAUAAAGUCGUUAAUCCGUUUCCAACCGUUUAUUAAUCCGACACUAACAACCGUCCUCCACUAAAAGUCAAUUUAAUCCUCCGGGAUCGCUUCAUUUAUCUUCACUCAGCUGUUCGAGGCUAUUCAUCCACAACCCAGCAGGAAAAACCCGGACUGGAUCCUCUCACUGACUGGAUUCACUCACUGACUGGAUUCACUCACUGACUGGAUUCACUCACUGACCCUGAUUUGACCCUCAAUGACUUCAGCUGGCGUUCAGGAACUGCACCGGGAUCCGAUGGCCUGACCGCAAAACCCGAUGUGACUGCCGGUGGACUGGGGUUUACACGGUCCAUGGGAAAUAUGGAAGAGUCUUCAGGUUCGUCCAAAUCCUACGUAUCUUUGUCAUGUUAUUCAUGAACAUUAUGCAAUUCUCCACUUUCCAGUGUCGUCUUCUUCUUGGCAUUUCUUUGGUGGAUUGCAAAGCAACUUUUAGGUGCAUAC